This 433-nucleotide ribosomal RNA is filed under the name uncultured bacterium. Its description in RNAcentral is "partial 16S ribosomal RNA". It matches the Rfam family "Bacterial small subunit ribosomal RNA", at positions 27 to 506 of the family's 1533-position model. The record is from RNAcentral.
GAACGAACGCUGGCGGCAUGCCUAACACAUGCAAGUCGAACGAGACCUUCGGGUCUAGUGGCGCACGGGUGCGUAACGCGUGGGAACCUGCCCUUAGGUUCGGAAUAACUCCCCGAAAGGGGUGCUAAUACCGGACAAUGUCUUCGGACCAAAGAUUUAUCGCCUUUGGAUGGGCCCGCGUUGGAUUAGCUAGUUGGUAGGGUAAAAGCCUACCAAGGCGACGAUCCAUAGCUGGUCUGAGAGGAUGAUCAGCCACACUGGGACUGAGACACGGCCCAGACUCCUACGGGAGGCAGCAGUGGGGAAUAUUGGACAAUGGGCGAAAGCCUGAUCCAGCAAUGCCGCGUGAGUGAUGAAGGCCUUAGGGUUGUAAAGCUCUUUUACCCGGGAUGAUAAUGACAGUACCGGGAGAAUAAGCUCCGGCUAACUCCGU